GAGCUCAACUCGGGAAUUGCCUUUUGAAACCUCGGUACUAGAGUGCUGGAGAGGAAACCGGAAUUUCCAGUGUAUCGGUGAUAUGCGUAGAUAUUGGAAGGAACAUCUGAGCCGAAGCCGGCUUUCUGGACAGACACUGACGCUGAGGCGCGUAAGCCAGGGGAGCGAACGGGAUUAGAUACCCCGGUAGUCCUGGCUGUAAACGAUGAACACUUGGUCUGGGGGGUAUAAAGUCCCUCCGUGCCGAAGAUAACUCGAUAAGUGUUCCGCCUGGGGAGUACGGCCGCAAGGCUGAAACUCAAAGGAAUUGACGGGGGCCCGCACAAGCGGUGGAGCAUGUGGUUUAAUUCGGCGCAACGCGAAGAACCUUACCGGGGUUUGAACUGUACCGGCGACAUCCAGAGAUGGAUGGUUUCCUUCGGGAACUGGUAUAGAGGUGCUGCAUGGCUGUCGUCAGCUCGUGUCGUGAGAUGUUGGGUUAAGUCCCGCAACGAGCGCAACCCUUGUCUGUAGUUGCCAUCAGGUUAAGCUGGGCACUCUACGGAGGCUGUCGGCGAUAAGCCGGAGGAAGGUGGGGAUGACGUCAAGUCCUCAUGGCCUUUAUGUCCCGGGCUACACACGUGCUACAAUGGAUGGAACAGAGGGCAGCAAGCCUGCGAAGGCAAGCGAAUCCCAAAAAUCCAUUCUCAGUUCGGAUUGCAGUCUGCAACUCGACUGCAUGAAGUUGGAAUCGCUAGUAAUCGCGGAUCAGAAUGCCGCGGUGAUACGUUCCCGGGCCUUGUACACACCGCCCGUCACAUCACGAAAGUGGGCUGUACUAGAAGCCGCCGGCCUAACCUUUUAGGAGGGAGGCGUCGACGGUAUG
RNAcentral lists this ribosomal RNA (865 nucleotides) under uncultured organism. Its description in RNAcentral is "bacterial SSU rRNA". It matches the Rfam family "Bacterial small subunit ribosomal RNA", at positions 605 to 1466 of the family's 1533-position model. The record is from RNAcentral.